AAGUGAGAAUGCCGGUAUGAGUAGCGAAAGACGGGUGAGAAUCCCGUCCACCGAAUGCCUAAGGUUUCCUGAGGAAGGCUCGUCCGCUCAGGGUUAGUCAGGACCUAAGCCGAGGCCGACAGGCGUAGGCGAUGGACAACAGGUUGAUAUUCCUGUACCACCUCUUUAUCGUUUGAGCAAUGGAGGGACGCAGAAGGAUAGAAGAAGCGUGCGAUUGGUUGUGCACGUCCAAGCAGUUAGGCUGAU
Molecule: ribosomal RNA, 246 nt
Filed under: Bacillus cereus
Lineage: Bacteria; Bacillati; Bacillota; Bacilli; Caryophanales; Bacillaceae
Also listed under: 1 other name
Description: partial 23S ribosomal RNA
Rfam family: Bacterial large subunit ribosomal RNA
Source: RNAcentral